GGUGGCUCAAUGGUAGAGUGCUUGCCUUGCAUGCAUGAGGCCCUGGGUUCGAUUCCUCAGUACCA
Non-coding RNA from Dipodomys ordii (Ord's kangaroo rat), 65 nucleotides. The record is from Rfam. NCBI's taxonomy places the organism in Eukaryota, Metazoa, Chordata, Mammalia, Rodentia, Heteromyidae.